UACACACACGCACAACACAGACAGGAACAGGGACAUGAGUAAAUGCUUUUGAUCCAUUGUCAAUUAUUAUAUGCAUAAUGCAUUAUACAUUUCGAAAGGAGGUUAUGAAAUGUUAUAAGAUACUUAAAAGAAUGAUAUGUUACUAACCAAUAAGAACUGUCAUAGUCAGUUAAAUAAUGCUUUAUAUUAUUUUGAUACCGUGAAUAUUUAAGAUAUUGAGUAACAGGAUAGAUGCAGCUGACCGCAGGAUUUGUAUGUGGUAUUGUUGGUUGUUGUUGCAUAUUUUCACUUGUAAAACCAUAUCAUGCGAGUUUUUUUAUUGUUUCUAACAAAAUUAUACGACAUCAAAAUAAGUCAUCUACGCUAACAUAAACUAAGUUAACUUGCAGCUGCAGUUCCAGCUCGUCCGCAGUUCAUUGUUCCUGCACAAUCGCCACAAUUCACUCAGGGCAGUGGUUCUGACUGAACAGCUGUGGUUGAGAGGAGCAUCAUGAAUUAAAACAUCUUGAGGUAUCCUUAGAUUGCAGCAGGACUGAGAACAGCAGUGCUGCUUGUGUGGCAUGCUUAUCUUUUGCCUUGCAAGCUAUCAUCUUUGCAUUCUAAAGGUCUUCUUUAUUCAUUAUUGUUCACCAGAGACAUCACCACAGAGUUUCCUGAAACCACUUUGAAUCUUUGUACUGCUGCUGCUGUGAAAAGUUUGUAAAUAUAUACCCAUACACUGGAGUCCGACAACCCAAUCGGUAUGUACAUAUGAUUCUUAAUGUAAAAGAGAAUAUAUGUAAAUUUAUGUCACCAUAGAAUCAAAUGUGAUUCUUUUUAGAGCCGGACGUGAUGACUUUCUGGUUUUGUUCCGUGUGUAGUUUCUUGGAAAAAAAAAAAAAACUUGGUCACUGGACUUGUAGAUGUACUCGGUGAUUUCUGAUGGGAUCUUGUAAAUACUGUGACGAUUGUUCUCUGGAAUUUAUGGAAUUUAUCUGUUGGACAA
Long non-coding RNA from Asparagus officinalis (garden asparagus), 985 nucleotides. RefSeq lists it as uncharacterized. Lineage: Eukaryota; Viridiplantae; Streptophyta; Magnoliopsida; Asparagales; Asparagaceae. The record is from RefSeq and is a predicted model, not a curated record. The transcript has 3 exons.